This 73-nucleotide transfer RNA is filed under the name Vicugna pacos (alpaca). Its description in RNAcentral is "tRNA-Ala (AGC) (tRNA-Ala-AGC-60-1)". It matches the Rfam family "tRNA". From Rfam's summary of the family: Transfer RNA (tRNA) molecules are approximately 80 nucleotides in length. Their secondary structure includes four short double-helical elements and three loops (D, anti-codon, and T loops). The record is from RNAcentral. Lineage: Eukaryota; Metazoa; Chordata; Mammalia; Artiodactyla; Camelidae.
GGAGGGUAUAGCUCAGUGGUAGAGUGCGUGCUUAGCAUGCACGAGGUCCUGGGUUCAAUCCCCAGUGCCUCCA